Pygocentrus nattereri (red-bellied piranha) is the source of this 717-nucleotide long non-coding RNA. RefSeq lists it as uncharacterized. Lineage: Eukaryota; Metazoa; Chordata; Actinopteri; Characiformes; Serrasalmidae. The transcript has 2 exons. The record is from RefSeq and is a predicted model, not a curated record.
AACUGACUACAAAGCCUUACAACACCUGCCACUGCUGUAGUGGCGGCUGAUGUGACAGCUCUGCUUUCAGAAUGAUCUCAGCUUCUGCUGUUGCUGAUGGGGAAAACAGAUUUCCUCCACCAUCUGCUUCUUCAAUGAUUCAACAGGCCAAAAAGUGCUUGCUCAUAGCUCAGCCUGCACCACUAUGGUUGUGACUUCAGGCUAAGCUGGAUGCAAUGCUGCUUAGCCUGGGGAGGAAGGAAGAGGAGCGACUGUGUCGAGUAUGAAUUUGAUGGGUUACAUCAUCUCACCUAUUGCUCUGCUCUUUUAAUGACAACCAAAGAAGACCUGGAUGACCACCAAACUGUUUUGGAAAAGACACCUCAACACUAUGGGUCUGAAAGGAUGCGUAGCUGCUAAAAAUCCAUUCCUGAGCGGCUGGUGUUCUCAGAACAAUGGACUGGCCUCCCCAGAGCCCAUUUGAAUAUGUUCAGGAUUACUUGGAUGGUGAACAGCAGAAAAUGCAACGAACUUCUAUGACUGAACUUCGGAGAUAUGAAAAAGUAUCUCUGCAGAUUACUUUGAGGAACCGAAACAGUCUCUUGAAAAGAAUGGAAGCUGGAAUAAAAGGAGCCAGUGUCUACGGCUUGUUGUCAAAACACGAGGAUUUUAUGCGCAGCAUUACCUGUUGCAUUUGCACAUCCCAAUGAAAGCACAAUAAACACAAAAUACCCAAAA